GUGAGAUGAAUGAUGUGGGCGUUGUGAUGUGGUGUCAGGUUACUGUGGAUCUUCUGACCAUGUGUCAGAAUGAGGAUCGUUUGCGUUAGGACUGUGGUUGACCAGGGGUAACUGAAACACAGAAAGUAAAACCACGGACAAGGGCAUCUACUAUUUCUGGGACCAAAGUGGAAAAGCACCAAGUGCCUGAGUCACAAGGCUGUGAUGGCGGUGGCCUCUGGAGAGUUAACAGGAGAGUAGAGUGAUGGAGGAGUAAAGGAGGCCAACUUUAUUCAUAAUGAUUGCAUUUAUUUUAUGAAAACAUACCCGAAGCUAAAUGACAAAGAACAAUAGGUGUUUUGUCAGCCUGAACAGAACCCAAGUGUUGCACAUAAAAUGAAGAAAAUAGCCACACAAUCAGGAAGAAAAGCCCCACAUAUUGAGUGAAAAUACUUGCUGAAUGUCCUACAUUGUCUCCUUAUAAGCCUGGAGUGAAGAUAAAUAAUUAAUAUCUGUGAAUAUAUUCUGUGGAGACCAGAAGGAAACCAAUAAGAAACUUCCAAGGUGAAAGAAGAUAUAUCAGUGGGCCUUUCAUUCUUGAUCAUCAGUUUAAGAAAAAUGAUGCUCAGUCAAUGCCUAAUGAACCACAAGCCAACAUCUUUUCUCUGCUUCUUUUACUAGUGGACGUUCUUUUAUUUUUCACUUGGGAUUACAUUUUAUUAUUUGUUGUUUUUCUUAAUAAAAAAUGGAGUAACAGUCUCACAUGAAAUGGAUCAGUGUAAGGCUGUUCACUGGGGUCCUUUUGCUUCCUAUUGCCAAACAAGCAUCGAUUUCAAUAGAACCAUUUAAUGAUUGAAGGUUUCAUUUUCUCCAAGUCACAGAAGCCACUCUACUUUAGGUACUUUAGACCAGUGAUGCCCAAUAGAAAUUUUGUGGAUGAUGGAUAUAUUCUGUUCAAUACAGAAGCCACUGGCCACAGGUGGCUAUUGAACACUUGAAAUGUGGUUAGUGAGUCUGAAGAAUGAAAAUUUUAACUUUUGUGAAAAUCUAAUUCAAGUGCAAAUAGCCAUCAUUGGCUAGUAGCUAUCAUAUGGAACCAACAGUUCUAAACUGCCAGAAGUGAUGCUUUUGUAACCUAAGAAACAUAGCCCAAAGUCACCUAUUCCAAGACCAGUUUUGAUGAAAGCCUGAUUCCUGCUCUUACCGGCAUACAGUAUGCGCCAAACAACAACUGGUUGAUGAGAGAAAUCUCUAAUAUCGGUGGGAAAACCUGAUUGUGAUAAAACUUUAUAAACCUAACCCUCGGGGUACUUGGGUGGCUCAGUGUUUAGGCAUCUGCCUUCAGCUGAGGGCAUGAUCCCUGGGGAC
Long non-coding RNA from Canis lupus familiaris (dog), 1347 nucleotides. RefSeq lists it as uncharacterized. The transcript is spliced from 4 exons. The record is from RefSeq and is a predicted model, not a curated record. NCBI's taxonomy places the organism in Eukaryota, Metazoa, Chordata, Mammalia, Carnivora, Canidae.